GGUGUUUUCCAGUAAGACUCUGGGUAGGAGGUGUGCACAGGUGACGACCAUCCCCGACUCCAUCCCGGAGGAGGAAGAGCCAUCUACGCUUACACUUUGUGUGCCUGCGGACAAGGAGAGCCUAUGAAGAUAUCUUCCCAGGCCAGGCGCGUAAGAUUGCUUUAGAGAAGAAUUCGCCGCCGCCCAUUACCAUGGACUUGAAAUGACUGUCAUCAAGUCGUGCACAGGACUAGACGAAGCAGUGACAGAAGCAGAGAAAGAGCACCCAGGUGAAAAGGCAGGUUUACAGUAACCACCGGCCGCCGGCAAACGUAAGUGAGUUUCUCUUUCGGGUGGAAGAAAACGUGCACGAAAACACAGCCACGUGCCGCCUCAGGUGCGCGCUGCCGGGGGACGAUGCGCUCCCGCGUUGGAAGCAAACAUGCAACGUGCCACCCUCCUUUCCCUCUUCGAGAGGAUUUCACAGGAAGAUGAACUCAGCCCCCUGACAGAACCCAAGAGCCAUGCUCUAGUCGUGGAACGAGAGGCGUGUUGAGAAGACCCUUUUCCUCAGGAAACUGGCUUGCUGGGCUCUGAGAACCAUCCCAUCUAGACUCCGGUGGGCACAAGACGCUUCCUGAUUAGGACUCAGCCAUGCUGCCUGGGAAUUCUUCUCCUGGACCCUUGGCUCCACCCUCUGGAUCAUCCAUCCUGUUAAGAAAAAUUUUCUCUUACUUGCAGCUGAAGACAGUCUUCUAAGCUGACCUCCUCCCCGUAGUCUGGAAGGUUCCAGGCCCUCUCUUCAUUUUCAUUUUCUUUUCAUUUUCCCAGGGCCUCUAUCCCUUUAGUUCAAGAUGUCCAUGUCGCACCACCCUGCUCUUUAAAAACCUGUGAUUCCGUGAACAUUGUUGGACUUCACUCCUUUACAUUGGGAGUUGGCAAGCUGUGAUCCGUGGGACAGAUCUGGCCAGCUACCUGUUUGUAUAAAGUUUUAUUGGAACACGGCCACACGUCUCUUUUCACGUUAUCUGCGGCUGCUUUCCUGCUACAACAGCAGACUGGAGUAGCUUCAACAGAAACUGUACGGGCCACAAAGCUGGAAAUAUUUACCAUGUGUAAUGAAGAAAAAGUUGGCCACCUCUGUAUUAAACAAAGCCACAUUCACAAAUCUCAUGAAAAUAAGCCUUGUUUACUGUGUAAACCUUGUUUACUGCGGCUUCCAAGUGAGCUGUUGUAGCAUCACGCCCUUAAGAACUGUGGAUGGUGGACGGGGCGUGCAGGGCAAGUCCUUAAGAUGCUCAGGCUUUUCUGUUUAGAUACUGCCUUCAUUCCCUUUGAAGUGCCAACUGCAGAUUCUAUAGUCAUGCCUCUGGCUUCAGCUUGAGACCACAUUUUCUGACAGUGCUCUGCAUUUAAUUCUUGCCUGAAAGUCAUUUCUUAUCUUCAGCAUCGAUUUUCAUCUGGAGCAGCUGGGAAUAAUAAACAGCUUGUCCUUCAA
Hyaena hyaena (striped hyena) is the source of this 1477-nucleotide long non-coding RNA. RefSeq lists it as uncharacterized. NCBI's taxonomy places the organism in Eukaryota, Metazoa, Chordata, Mammalia, Carnivora, Hyaenidae. The transcript has 3 exons. The record is from RefSeq and is a predicted model, not a curated record.